RNAcentral lists this ribosomal RNA (896 nucleotides) under uncultured bacterium. RNAcentral's name for it is "bacterial SSU rRNA". It matches the Rfam family "Bacterial small subunit ribosomal RNA", at positions 10 to 920 of the family's 1533-position model. The record is from RNAcentral.
CUUUUGAUCCUGGCUCAAGAUGAACGCUCGCGGCCGGCUUAACACAUGAGUCUGGAGGGGUAUUGGUUUUCGGAGAAGAGACCGGCGCACGGGUGCGUAAUGCGUAUGCAAUCUACCUUUCACGGAGGGGUACCCCCGCCCGUUUGGAUUAGUACCUCGGGGUAUUCUGAAAUGGCAUCCUUUUAUAAUUAAAGUCACAACGGUGAAAGAUGAGCAUGCGUCCCAUUACCUUGUUGCCAAGGUAAAUGCUUACCAACGGAACGAUGGUUAUGGGUCCUGAGAGGUAGAUCCCCCACUCGGGUACUGAGACACCAACCAUACUCCUUGAGGAGGCAGCAGUGAGGAAUAUUGGUCAAUGGACGCAAGUCUGAACCAGCCAUGCCGCGUGCAGGAUGACGGUCCUAUGGAUUGUAAACUGCUUUUGUACGAGAAGAAACAACAUUACGUGUAAUGUCUUGACGGUAUCGUAAGAAUAAGGAUCGGCUAACUCCGUGCCAGCAGCCGCGGUAAUACGGAGGAUCCAAGCGUUAUCCGGAAUCAUUGGGUUUAAAGGGUCCGUAGCGGGUUAGUAAGUCAGUGGUGAAAGCCCAUCGCUCAACGGUGGAACGGCCAUUGAUACUGCUAGACUUGAAUUAUUAGGAAGUAACUAGAAUAUGUAGUGUAGCGGGUGAAAUGCUUAGAGAUUACAUGGAAUACCAAUUGCCAAGGCAGGUUACUACUAAUUUGAUUGACGCUGAUGGACGAAAGCGUGGGUACCGAACAGGAUUAGAUACCCUGGUAGUCCCGCCGUAAACGAUGGAUACUAGUGGUGGGGGCAACUUCAGUGGCUAAGCGAAAGUGAUAAUAAUCCCCCCUGGGAGACCUCGCAGAAUGAAACUCAACGGAAUGAAGGGGCC